RNAcentral lists this ribosomal RNA (253 nucleotides) under uncultured bacterium. Its description in RNAcentral is "partial 16S ribosomal RNA". It matches the Rfam family "Bacterial small subunit ribosomal RNA", at positions 524 to 776 of the family's 1533-position model. The record is from RNAcentral.
UACGAAGGGGGCUAGCGUUGCUCGGAAUCACUGGGCGUAAAGGGUGCGUAGGCGGGUCUUUAAGUCAGGGGUGAAAUCCUGGAGCUCAACUCCAGAACUGCCUUUGAUACUGAGGAUCUUGAGUUCGGGAGAGGUGAGUGGAACUGCGAGUGUAGAGGUGAAAUUCGUAGAUAUUCGCAAGAACACCAGUGGCGAAGGCGGCUCACUGGCCCGAUACUGACGCUGAGGAGCGAAAGCGUGGGGAGAGAACAGG